GCGCGUAGGCGGAUUAUCAAGUCUCUUGUGAAAUCUAAUGGCUUAACCAUUAAACUGCUUGGGAAACUGAUAGUCUAGAGUGAGGGAGAGGCAGAUGGAAUUGGUGGUGUAGGGGUAAAAUCCGUAGAUAUCACCAAGAAUACCCAUUGCGAAGGCGAUCUGCUGGAACUCAACUGACGCUAAGGCGCGAAAGCGUGGGGAGCAAACAGGAUUAGAUACCCUGGUAGUCCACGCCCUAAACGAUGUACACUAGUUGUUGGGAUGCUAGUCAUCUCAGUAAUGCAGCUAACGCAUUAAGUGUACCGCCUGGGGAGUACGGUCGCAAGAUUAAAACUCAAAGGAAUAGACGGGGACCCGCACAAGCGGUGGAGCAUGUGGUUUAAUUCGAAGAUACGCGAAGAACCUUACCUGGGCUUGAUAUCCUAAGAACCUUAUAGAGAUAUGAGGGUGCUAGCUUGCUAGAACUUAGAGACAGGUGCUGCACGGCUGUCGUCAGCUCGUGUCGUGAGAUGUUGGGUUAAGUCCCGCAACGAGCGCAACCCACGUAUUUAGUUGCUAACGGUUCGGCCGAGCACUCUAAAUAGACUGCCUUCGUAAGGAGGAGGAAGGUGUGGACGACGUCAAGUCAUCAUGGCCCUUAUGCCCAGGGCGACACACGUGCUACAAUGGCAUAUACAAUGAGACGCAAUACCGCGAGGUGGAGCAAAUCUAUAAAAUAUGUCCCAGUUCGGAUUGUUCUCUGCAACUCGAGAGCAUGAAGCCGGAAUCGCUAGUAAUCGUAGAUCAGCCAUGCUACGGUGAAUACGUUCCCGGGUCU
RNAcentral lists this ribosomal RNA (817 nucleotides) under uncultured Campylobacter sp. RNAcentral describes it as "bacterial SSU rRNA". It matches the Rfam family "Bacterial small subunit ribosomal RNA", at positions 567 to 1381 of the family's 1533-position model. The record is from RNAcentral. Lineage: Bacteria; Pseudomonadati; Campylobacterota; Epsilonproteobacteria; Campylobacterales; Campylobacteraceae.